CGAGGUUCCUUUGGUGAACCCC
RNAcentral lists this small nuclear RNA (22 nucleotides) under Arabidopsis thaliana (thale cress). Its description in RNAcentral is "snRNA_14745". Lineage: Eukaryota; Viridiplantae; Streptophyta; Magnoliopsida; Brassicales; Brassicaceae. The record is from RNAcentral.